This is an RNA transcript of Mercenaria mercenaria, 4433 nucleotides long. It is a transcript of the gene named insoluble matrix shell protein 3-like, with no coding region annotated. The record is from RefSeq and is a predicted model, not a curated record. The transcript is spliced from 5 exons. Lineage: Eukaryota; Metazoa; Mollusca; Bivalvia; Venerida; Veneridae.
CUCAUGAUUGUUACAUUUGCUUCUAUUGUGGUCUUUGUUAAUCAAAUAAGAUGGACUUUCUGUUUAUUUCAAAGUGAUGUCUUAAUAAUGUAAAAUAUUCAACACUAGAAAUAAUUCUAACAUAUAGUUAAAGGAAAUAUUCGUACAUACUUUUAUAACACAUGGAUUUUGCGUAAGUUUUCUGCAGAACUGCCGGCUUAGCUUUCUCUUUGGUAGAACGUGACUCAAAAAUAUAAAUAUGACUGUGAUACUUUUUCUGGUGUUAGCGAUCCUUCAAUUUGCUUUGGUUGAAGGUAAAACAGGUUGUUGGGCAGCUUCAACUGCACCAGGAAAGAUAUGCAUAGAAGAUGAUGUAUUAAAUGGACAGAUAUCAAUGGACAUAAGAUAUACAAUCACCUCUAGGUUUACACAAGUUUGCUGUGAAGCGCUAGCUUGUACUGACUUUCGUGGCUGUCGUUUAACGGAUAUUGGAUGCGGUCAGGGCACAAUGACGUCUCAACGUCUCCCCUGGGAAUUAAGAGAUAUCAACCCUGCCGUGAGGUGUUUUGCGACCGACGCAACAAAUCCUAAUUAUUACGCCUUUGAAGUAAGGGUCGCUUAAACCAACUCAAAUAUCAAAUACAGAGGAAUAAAUAACAAACGUAAAUGUUAAAAAGUGAUUUCAGUAUGUUAUGAUACAAUUUUCUCUUUUACUUUUAUCAUUUUAUCUGAAAAAAUAAAAAUGAUAACUCAAAUUUGGCGUCUUAGUAUCAUUUUUUUACAUUUGGGAAAGCAACCGAGUCUAAAUACUAAGCUGAUAAGUUAAUUUGGAUUAGAAAAUAGCCACAGAAGUUGACCAAAAAAAAAUGACCUAAUAGACAUUAUGGUCAUAUAACGACUCGCCAGAUUUUAUACAUGUGUGAAAAAUCUCAACAUUAAUAAAGUUUUAAACUUAUUUGUCUAAACUUGGCAUCCACUGAUUACUUACGUUAGACAUGAUAUUUUAGCACAAAAAAAAGAACAAAUGGAAGUAUGUAAACAAUUACAGAAAAGAUAUAUAUUUCUGACUUCGAAAUGCAUACCAUUUUUACAAUUACAGUCAAACCUGUGUUAAAGACCACCUAUGAACAGAGACCACCUGGCUCUAAAGACCACAUGUUUUGUUUCCCAUUUUAACAUUUACAGUGUAUUUUAACCUGUGAAUAAAGACAACCUUCCAAAAAAGACCAUAUUUUGGCUCGCCCAAGGGUGGUCUUUAUAGACAGGUUUGACUGUAUAGUAAUGUUUGACUGUAUGGUAAUGCACUUGCUUGCUGGAGAAGACGUUACAUAACAGAACAGAACAGAACAGACAGAAUCAAUCAUAAAACAUUAUUGGAUUCAAUAACGACGCUGUAUUGUACGCCCAUUAAUGCUUUGUCACGACACAUAUCUAUAUUAAGGAUAUAACACAACUAUUUACUAUAAUAUAGUAUGAAAGUCUUAAUUUAUAAUUGUUCUGCAAUACAAUUCAAAUAAAAACACAGUUAUACAUAAUAUGUUAAGUUGAUGAGUACCGGCAAUUAUCUUACCACAAUCUACAAAAACCGCUUGUGUAAAUAAUGUCGAUGUCUGUGUACCAUACCAUCAUGCAAAUAAUAACGCGUCAAUAACUGGUUUGUAAUAUACCGGUAGAAAUUGCCAGGAUUGGUAAGUGGUGCAUCAAUAGAAUGAGCCAUGGAUGGUCAGUGUUUGACUGACAGAAUUAGCGGUGACUGGUCAGUGUCGGACCGGAAGAAUGGGUCAUGACGGUUAAAAUAUUGCUAUGGAAGUCGUCCAUAGACAUCAAAUACCUAUCGCACAAUUUACCAAGACAAUGAAAUUUAAACAGUAAUAUUUACAAAUCCCAACCUGGUAUAUUGUUAAGUGCAAGUUGCAACACGUUUAUACCAUUGAUAAUUGUUAAUUUAAUUUUACACAAAAUAUGCUUCGUGAUGACAUUAUGCAGCUAUUUUUGUAACAUAUAUAUGUGGAGUUCUUAAUUGCACAUGAUUCAUAAAGUUGCAGAAUUUUGAGGCAACUAUUCUUUAUGAUACCCAAGCGCUGAUCCUACCACGGUUAGAUGAUAACCUAAACAUACUCUUAAUGUGUACCAUGCCCUUUCAAGCAGCACAAUGGCAACAUAAGAAAUUAAAUUUCGUUUAAUUGCAAACAGAUAGUGAUAUGAUGCAAAAAUAUCUGCCACAAACUGAGUAUUUUUAGAUGAUUUUUAAACUUGAGUAUCUUCAGUUUGAUUUCAAAAGGAUUGAAGAAAUUAAAAUGUGUGAAAAAGAUCCAAUCAGUAAUUUACAAUAAAUAGACAUGUACGCGCAUAUUUCUUUUUAAUCAAUUUGGACUGUAAACACAUUUGUUGACUGACAGACGGAACAGACAAAACAUUUACAAAGAUGAACAAUAUCACUUGUUGGGUCCAAUAAAUCAAAGUUAUUCUAUUUCAAACAUGACACUUUAAUGAUUUAUUAUCAAAUUUGUGAAAAUUUGUCUCAUUGUGAUGCACAUUUCGUACAAGCACUAUAAUUUAUAUAUACACAAAGUGUACAAUAAAUACUGAGACCAUAGCCCAUUUUAUUAAUAGACAUGAUAAUUUAUUAUGUAUUCUGUCAAAUAACUGGUGUCUUUAAACAAUUAAAAUCAUCUCACUGUGUAUUAUUAAAGCGCCAUAUUCCAGAACAAACCUCAAAAUGCUAAAUUUGUUCGUGUUUAAGGAAAUCAAUUGUCUAAAGUGAGGUAAAAGUAAAAUGGCUUAAACAAUACAAGUAAUUAUAGCACACUCGUUUUGACUGAGUCUACUCGCAUGAGGUAAUAAAACGUGCAACACCUCUCACACGCCCUAGCACCGUCUGAAUAUUUCAUUAUAUUUGCAGAAAAAAUGCUUUAGAAAGGCCUAUUAUAACAAUAACAAUUUUAUCAGGAUUAUAAUUAUUUUCGUCUGACCAUUAUUUCUCCUCUAAAAUUUGUAUAUGAUUUUUAAAGGUGCGCUUGGUUGCUUAAUAUGUAAAAUAUGUAAAAAAACAUGGAAAUCACAAAUUUGAAAAAAAAUCGCAUACUUAUUUUAUUUCACAAAGAGUAUUAAUUACAACACAAAUUUAGAAGAAACAGUUUUAAGUCGAAAAACUAAUAAUUAAUUGCCAUUAAAAAUUACGUUUCAAAUGUACAUGAAUAUUACUGACAGGAACUCGUACUAUUUUGUAUCCAGUUGUAUCUACGUGACGCUCGAUAUAUAACGAAUGAAAUUGCAGAUAACCUUUCUUAGUACAUGAAAUUCUACAGAUUUAAGGGAAUCAAAUACCGUAAAUUUGUAUUGUUCAACAAAAACAGUAAUUUCCUAGAGUAAAGCUUUUCUUGCACAUAUGGUUAUUAUAACAUCAUAUGUGCACAAAUAGCGUGACACGUCGUUUUGAAGUCCAGGAAACAGAAGCAGAAAAUUAUUAAAAACAUGACACUUUACUAUUAAAUUAGCAAAAUGUAUCAUGAAUAAUUAUCUGCCCGCUUUGCACAUUUCGUGCAGAACUAUGCACUAUUUAUACACAGCUUAAACAAUUAUCCCAGUUAACAAACAAGGCAAUACAUUACAUAGGCAACGAAAAUAGCGGUUAUUUUCAAGAAACAGGCCUUAAACGAAUGUGGUUAAACUAUUGUUUAUUAUAUAUUUUAGAUAUGUAUGAAUUGUGUUCUGAUAUCCUCUUGUAAGAAACAUCUAAUAGAUAUUUCAAUAAAACGUAUAUUUGCAUUUUUGAAGUUUAUUUAUUUCCAUUUUAACUUUCUUUUUGUAAAACCAACGAAGGAACAACCUUGCCUUAUUCAUUUAAUAAUGCUAAUUUUUUGGUGCUCAUUACGUACUUCGCCUUUCAAACGGACAGAUUUGCCAUCGUACUUUCUAUUUGGUAGACAGUAUUGCCCAAAAAAUAGUGAUGAUACUAUUCCUGAUGGUAGCGAUCCUUCAAUUUGCUCUGGUUAAAGGUCCGCCAGGUUGCUGGGCUGGUCCAACUCAACCGGGAAAGGUUUGCAUAGACGGUAACGUAUUAAAUGGACAAAUAUCAAUGGACAUAAGGUAUACAAUCACUUCCAGGUUUACACAUAUUUGCUGUCAAGCGCUAGCUUGUACGGACUUUCGUGGCUGCCUUUUAAAGGAUAUUGGAUGCGGCCAGGGCACAGUGUCGUCUCAACGUCUCCCCUGGGAAUUGAGAGACAUCAAUCCUCUCGUUAGAUGUUAUGCGACCGACGCAACAAAUCCUGAUUAUUACGACUUUGAAGUAAGAGUCGUCUAGACUAGCACAAAUUUCAAAUAUAAUAAUAAAAAUUCAAUAUCAAACUAUCCAGAAUAUGAAAACAGAAAUGAAAAUGAAAUAUAUUUGAUUCAGUAUUUGAUGACACAGAUGUCUCUGUUAGUUAAUAAAAUAAAAAUGAUUACUUGAA